AAUUAAUCAACCUGCUUAUAAAGUGACCUGCCCGCCAAAAACAAAAAUGAUUCCUCCCUUCGUCCCUCCAAUGGCGUCAGACAUCCCUUCUCAUUCGUGACGCCUGCAUAUUCGUGUUCAUGAAGGAGUAUUCCAUAGGACAUUGGAUUUUGUUAAUCUCAACAACCGGGUGCUAUCAAUUCGUGGCUUAGAUUUCCCUAUGAGCGUGAGGUGUACUACUCAAAUGACCUUCCUAAACGUUCUUGUACUGGCUGUUACAUUGACAACGACCUCAGGCAGCUCAACAUUGAACGCGACACCUAGUUGCUGUAUGUAUAACAACAAUAUGGAGACCCUAUAAUAACGUAAGACUGAACUGAAUGACCAUUUUCAUGUUUUCCUGUGCUAUAUAUCUUCUUAUUAUGGUGGCUUUAAGGUUAGAGUUAUCAGUAAAAGUAGUAAUAUGUCAUUCCCACGAUUUAUCAUGUUUUAUCAACACAUUUCUUUUU
Molecule: long non-coding RNA, 488 nt
Organism: Trifolium pratense (red clover)
Lineage: Eukaryota; Viridiplantae; Streptophyta; Magnoliopsida; Fabales; Fabaceae
Exons: 3
Source: RefSeq, a predicted model, not a curated record